This 301-nucleotide ribosomal RNA is filed under the name uncultured bacterium. RNAcentral describes it as "partial 16S ribosomal RNA". It matches the Rfam family "Bacterial small subunit ribosomal RNA", at positions 509 to 809 of the family's 1533-position model. The record is from RNAcentral.
CAGUAGCCGCGGUAAUACGUAGGUGGCAAGCGUUGUCCGGAAUUAUUGGGCGUAAAGGGCUCGCAGGCGGUUUCUUAAGUCUGAUGUGAAAGCCCCCGGCUCAACCGGGGAGGGUCAUUGGAAACUGGGAAACUUGAGUGCAGAAGAGGAGAGUGGAAUUCCACGUGUAGCGGUGAAAUGCGUAGAGAUGUGGAGGAACACCAGUGGCGAAGGCGACCCUCUGGUCUGUAACUGACGCUGAGGAGCGAAAGCGUGGGGAGCGAACAGGAUUAGAGACCCCCGUAGUCCCUGUCUCUUAUAU